RNAcentral lists this ribosomal RNA (492 nucleotides) under uncultured bacterium. RNAcentral describes it as "partial 16S ribosomal RNA". It matches the Rfam family "Bacterial small subunit ribosomal RNA", at positions 29 to 507 of the family's 1533-position model. The record is from RNAcentral.
AGUGAACGCUGGCGGUAGGCCUAACACAUGCAAGUCGAACGGCAGCACAGUAAGAGCUUGCUCUUACGGGUGGCGAGUGGCGGACGGGUGAGGAAUACAUCGGAAUCUACUUUUUCGUGGGGGAUAACGUAGGGAAACUUACGCUAAUACCGCAUACGACCUACGGGUGAAAGCAGGGGAUCUUCGGACCUUGCGCGAUUGAAUGAGCCGAUGUCGGAUUAGCUAGUUGGUGGGGUAAAGGCCCACCAAGGCGACGAUCCGUAGCUGGUCUGAGAGGAUGAUCAGCCACACUGGAACUGAGACACGGUCCAGACUCCUACGGGAGGCAGCAGUGGGGAAUAUUGGACAAUGGGCGCAAGCCUGAUCCAGCCAUACCGCGUGGGUGAAGAAGGCCUUCGGGUUGUAAAGCCCUUUUGUUGGGAAAGAAAAGCAGCAGGUUAAUACCCCGCUGUUCUGACGGGACCCAAAGAAUAAGCACCGGCUAACUUCGUG